This 387-nucleotide ribosomal RNA is filed under the name Syndiniales sp. RNAcentral describes it as "partial small subunit ribosomal RNA". It matches the Rfam family "Eukaryotic small subunit ribosomal RNA", at positions 582 to 975 of the family's 1831-position model. Lineage: Eukaryota; Dinophyceae; Syndiniales. The record is from RNAcentral.
AUUCCAGCUCCAAUAGCGUAUAUUAAAAUUGUUGCGGUUAAAACGCUCGUAGUUGGAUAUUUGUUGAGAACUGCCGGUCUACCCCAGUGGUCAGCACACGGUUUGUUCUCGGCACUUUCCUGGGGAGAGUGUUUGCACUUCACUGUGUGGCACAUGAUCCAGAACUUUUACUUUGAGGAAAUGAGAGUGUUUCAAGCAGGCGCCUGUCGUGAAUGCGUUAGCAUGGAAUAAUAGCAUGGGACCGCGGUCUGAAGCUGUUGGUUUUUGGGCCGUGGUAAUAAAAAUAGGGAUAGUUGGGGGUAUUCGUAUUUAACUGUCAGAGGUGAAAUUCUUGGAUUUUUUAAAGACGGACUACUGCGAAAGCAUCUGCCCAGGAUGUUUUCAUCA